UACGGGGGGAGCAAGCGUUGUUCGGAUUUACUGGGCGUAAAGGGCGCGUAGGCGGUCAGCACAAGUCAGUUGUGAAAUCUCCGGGCUUAACCCGGAAACUGCCAUUGAUACUAUCUGUCUUGAAUACCGUGGAGGUGAGCGGAAUAUGUCAUGUAGCGGUGAAAUGCUUAGAUAUGACAUAGAGCACCAAUUGCGAAGGCAGCUCGCUACACGAAUAUUGACACUGAGGCACGAAAGCGUGGGGAUCAAACAGG
RNAcentral lists this ribosomal RNA (254 nucleotides) under uncultured bacterium. RNAcentral's name for it is "partial 16S ribosomal RNA". It matches the Rfam family "Bacterial small subunit ribosomal RNA", at positions 524 to 776 of the family's 1533-position model. The record is from RNAcentral.